This 958-nucleotide ribosomal RNA is filed under the name Starmerella bacillaris. RNAcentral's name for it is "partial large subunit ribosomal RNA". It matches the Rfam family "Eukaryotic large subunit ribosomal RNA", at positions 73 to 1150 of the family's 3401-position model. The record is from RNAcentral. Lineage: Eukaryota; Fungi; Ascomycota; Dipodascomycetes; Dipodascales; Trichomonascaceae.
UUUGCCCUAGUACGGCGAGUGAACAGGCAAGAGCUCAGAUUUGAAAGGCACUUUUGUGCCGUUGUAUUCUGAAGUUAGGGUCCUGAGAAACGAUGCUUAAGUCUUCUGGAAAGGAGCGCCAUGGAGGGUGAUAGCCCCGUCUAGCAUUGACCUCAUAUAGGAUCUUAACAUGGAGUCGAGUUGUUUGGGAAUGCAGCUCAAAUGGGUGGUAUGCUCCAUCUAAAGCUAAAUAUCUGCGAGAGACCGAUAGUAAACAAGUACUGUGAGGGAAAGAUGAAAAGAACUUUGAAAAGAGAGUGAAAAAGUACGUGAAAUUGUUGAAAUGGAAGGGUAGGCCGCUAACCAUGUAGAGCCGUGUUUGGGGGGAAGAUAAAUGCUGUAGAAUGUAGCUCCUCGGAGUAUUAUAGAUGCAGUUCAUAUUCCCACCCGAGCGCGAGGAUCUCAGGUUCUACUAAAUGGUGGUCUACCACCCGUCUUGAAACACGGACCAAGGAGUCUAUUGUCUGCGCGAGUAUUUGGGUGUCAAACCCAUAUGCGAAGUGAAAGCGAAAGGUUCUAACCUUCGGGUUCAGAAUCGGCCGACCGUUUAUAGAAGCGGAUUGAGUAGAGCGUGGAUGAUGGGACCCGAAAGAUGGUGAACUAUGCCUGAAUAGGGUGAAGCCAGAGGAAACUCUGGUGGAGGCUCGCAGCGGUUCUGACGUGCAAAUCGAUCGUCAAAUUUGGGUAUAGGGGCGAAAGACUAAUCGAACCAUCUAGUAGCUGGUUCCUGCCGAAGUUUCCCUCAGGAUAGCAGAAGCUCGUAUCAGUUUUAUGGGGUAAAGCGAAUGAUUAGAGGUAUUGGGACUGAAAUGGUCUUGACCUAUUCUCAAACUUUGAAUAUGUAAAACGUCCUUGUUACUUAAGUGAACUUGGACUCUUGAAUGAAGAGCUUUUAGUGGGCCAUUUUUGGUAACAAAAA